AAGCAGAACAAGAUAUCUCUAUUGGAGAAGGAGCUAACAAACUGCAAAAAAGAUCUGAGUGAGAGGGAGAAGAGGUUAGAUGACGCUCAGCAAGCACAGGCUACUAUGCAGUCAGAGUUCAACAAGCAGAAACAAGAGUUAGAAAAGUUCAAGAGAGCUUAUUCUUCUUUAAAUACGACCAAGAGAAAAUACGAAAAAGAGA
Camelina sativa (false flax) is the source of this 202-nucleotide non-coding RNA. Lineage: Eukaryota; Viridiplantae; Streptophyta; Magnoliopsida; Brassicales; Brassicaceae. The record is from RefSeq and is a predicted model, not a curated record.